GACGAACGCUGGCGGCGUGCUUAACACAUGCAAGUCGAACGGAAAGGCCCUGCUUUUGUGGGGUGCUCGAGUGGCGAACGGGUGAGUAACACUUGAGUAACCUGCCCUUGACUUUGGGAUAACUUCAGGAAACUGGGGCUAAUACCGGAUAGGAUCUCCUGCUGCAUGGUGGGGGUUGGAAAGUUUCGGCGGUUGGGGAUGGACUCGCGGCUUAUCAGCUUGUUGGUUGGGUAGUGGCUUACCAAGGCUUUGACGGGUAGCCGGGCUGAGAGGGUGACCGGACACAUUGGGCCUGAGAUACGGCCCAGACUCCUACGGGAGGCAGCAGUGGGGAAUAUUGCACAAUGGGCGGAAGCCUGAUGCAGCAACGCCGCGUGCGGGAUGACGGCCUUCGGGUUGUAAACCGCUUUCGCCUGUGACGAAGCGUGAGUGACGGUAAUGGGUAAAGAAGCACCGGCUAACUACGUG
This 468-nucleotide ribosomal RNA is filed under the name uncultured bacterium. RNAcentral's name for it is "partial 16S ribosomal RNA". It matches the Rfam family "Bacterial small subunit ribosomal RNA", at positions 28 to 507 of the family's 1533-position model. The record is from RNAcentral.